UUCGCAAUGCCCGAAAGGGUGAACGAGCGACGCCGCGUGCGGGAUGAAGGCCUUCGGGUUGUAAACCGCUUUUGCAAGGGAAAAACUUAAUGAUGGUACCUUGCGAAUAAGAGGUUACUAACUCUGUGCCAGCAGUAGCGGUAAUACAGAGACCUCAAGCGUUAUCCGGAUUUAUUGGGCGUAAAGCGCGGGUAGGCGGAUGAGCAAGUCCAUUGUGAAAUCCCCCGGCUUAACCGGGGAACUGCAGUGGAUACUACUUGACUUGAGUGCAGAAGGGGAGAGUGGAAUACCUGGUGGAGCGGUGAAAUGCGUAGAUAUCAGGAGGAACGCCGGUGGCGAAAGCGACUCUCUGGUCUGUUACUGACGCUGAGGUGCGAAAGCUAGGGGAGCAAACGGGAUUAGAUACCCCGGUAGUCCUAGCCCUAAACGAUGGGCACUAAGUAGAGGGGUUUU
RNAcentral lists this ribosomal RNA (453 nucleotides) under uncultured bacterium. RNAcentral describes it as "bacterial SSU rRNA". It matches the Rfam family "Bacterial small subunit ribosomal RNA", at positions 364 to 832 of the family's 1533-position model. The record is from RNAcentral.